GAUGAACGCUGGCGGCGUGCCUAAUACAUGCAAGUCGAGCGAACAGAUGAGGAGCUUGCUCCUCUGACGUUAGCGGCGGACGGGUGAGUAACACGUGGAUAACCUACCUAUAAGACUGGGAUAACUUCGGGAAACCGGAGCUAAUACCGGAUAAUAUAUUGAACCGCAUGGUUCAAUAGUGAAAGACGGUUUUGCUGUCACUUAUAGAUGGAUCCGCGCCGCAUUAGCUAGUUGGUAAGGUAACGGCUUACCAAGGCAACGAUGCGUAGCCGACCUGAGAGGGUGAUCGGCCACACUGGAACUGAGACACGGUCCAGACUCCUACGGGAGGCAGCAGUAGGGAAUCUUCCGCAAUGGGCGAAAGCCUGACGGAGCAACGCCGCGUGAGUGAUGAAGGUCUUCGGAUCGGAAAACUCUGUUAUUAGGGAAGAACAAAUGUGUAAGUAACUAUGCACGUCUUGACGGUACCUAAUCAGAAAGCCACGGCUAACUACGUG
RNAcentral lists this ribosomal RNA (497 nucleotides) under uncultured bacterium. RNAcentral describes it as "partial 16S ribosomal RNA". It matches the Rfam family "Bacterial small subunit ribosomal RNA", at positions 28 to 507 of the family's 1533-position model. The record is from RNAcentral.